Molecule: long non-coding RNA, 598 nt
Organism: Lepidothrix coronata (blue-crowned manakin)
Lineage: Eukaryota; Metazoa; Chordata; Aves; Passeriformes; Pipridae
Exons: 3
Source: RefSeq, a predicted model, not a curated record
GAAAGCAUCCAGGUGGGCAACAAGGAAAGGCUCCUGUGGGAACAUCAGCCAGGUACUUGGAGCAGGAGUGGCAGAAGUGUUUGGGAACUCAUUCCUCUGGCACUGGCAGGAGGAGGAGGCCGAGCAGCCGGAGGGAUUUCUGUGGGAAAGGUUUAGGCACACCAGACUGUACAGAUGGCCAGAGCCAGAGUCUCUCAGGAAGAGACCAUGGCAUAUGUUGUGGCUCGUGUCUUCAAACUUCUGCCCUGGUAAGAGAAAGGAAGGGAAAGAUAUCGACACUGUGGCACAGAAAGGUGGAUGGCAAAACAUGUGAGGACUUGGGAGCCGGCAGAUAUGAAAUCUGGCAUCAUCUUCACUGGAAAAGAGGGAUCCAGGCCAUGUCAUUUGUUGGAGGUCGUGUUGGUGUGGACAACCUUAAAUUCAAGUUCUCCUUUAAUGUGCAAAACAGUUGAAGGCAGAGAGAUAUAAAGCUGCAGCAUAAGGGGACUCUAAGGGUUGUUUGGAAUAGAUCUGUGCAUUUUAUGUUCUCAGAUAAAUUCCUUGCCUCCGAGUACAUUACGGAGAAGAUCCAACUGCAGGAAGCUGAGAACAGGGAUAA